Molecule: RNA transcript, 2266 nt
Organism: Populus euphratica (Euphrates poplar)
Lineage: Eukaryota; Viridiplantae; Streptophyta; Magnoliopsida; Malpighiales; Salicaceae
Gene: TAF12
Gene name: TBP-associated factor 12
Exons: 10
Source: RefSeq, a predicted model, not a curated record
UUUGUUUAGAUUCAAGGUGCGGUCAUGAGGGCCUCCUGCCUGGAUUCGAAAGCUAUUGAGAAUGCCUCCGUAGCCUAAUCCAGCAGUCUCAUAAAUACGUCACCAUCCUGUCCAGUGUUUCCACCGAUAACAUCAUUUUUCUUCAUGGACCGACCAGCCCCCACCACCACCUCAACCUCCACCUCCACCUCCACCUCCACUCCCCCCAUAAUUAAGCAACCUACGGAACCACCACCAUCUCAACCACAACCGCAACCACAACCACAACCAUCCUCCUCCACGGCCUCUCCAAACCCUAAUCUUAACCCCAACCCACCCCCAAAACCUUCAAUAUCAGCAGCAACAACAAUCACCACCACCCCCAGCAUCACAAGGCCUCAGACAGUGCAUAGGCCAUGGCAGCACCCCCACCCCCACUCCCAACUCCCGUCUGUUUCUUCGGGCCCUCCUAUACCAUCCUCCUCCUCCACGACCCCUUCUAUUUCUUCGCCACGCGGUGUUGCCCUAGGUGUUCCCGCGCCUUCUCCCGCGUCCUUUUCUUCUUCAUUUGGUCACCAGUUUGUUGGAUUGAACCGCGCUCCGGUUAACGUGCCUGAAUCCGUAGCCAACACCAACAACUCGCAGGUGAGGCAAGGGGUGAUGGCUUCAAUGGCGUCGAAUUCUCAAAUGCGACCACAUCAACAGAGACCUGUUCAAUCAUCUCUUCGACCAGCCACCUCUUCCUCAAAUACCCAAAAUUUCUCAGGGCAUGUAUUUAUAAGAUCCACACCAGCAGGUGCAGCAGGUUCUCCAGUGCCAAAUGCAUCGCAAAGCACAUCGCAAAGUUUGCAGUCCUCCAGUCAGCUGUGGUUGUCAUCUGCAUCUCAAGGGAAGCCUCCAUUGCCUUCCCCUUCAUAUAGACCUCAGAUGAACUCUCCGUCACUGCAACAAAGGUCACACAUUCCACCACAGCAUCAUUCCCCACCGACAACUUCGCAGCAACAGCACAUGUCACCUGCACAACCUCAACAACUUUUACAAUCCCAUCAACAACCAGAGCAUUAUGGCCAGCAAUUUCCACCAUCAAGAGUCCAACAGUCCUUAUCCCCUCUGCAACAAGUUUCAAGGGUUCAAGGUUCAGUAAAUCAUAAGCCAUCUUCCCUAGCAAUGUCACAUCCUAACACAGUACAACCAUUGCCGCAGAAUAGUAUAGCUAAUGCAGAAAGUGAUGAAUCUGGUAACCGGAUUCUUAGCAAAAGAAGCAUUCAUGAGCUAGUUAGUCAGAUUGAUCCAUCAGAGAAGUUCAAUCCUGAAGUUGUAGAGAUUCUAGCAGAUAUAGCAGAUGAAUUUCUUGUGUCUGUCACAACAUUUGGUUGCUCAUUGGCCAAGCAUCGAAAAUCAGAUACAUUGGAAGCAAAAGACAUACUUCUACAUCUUGACAGAAACUGGAAUAUGACACUGCCAGGGUUCUGUGGCGAUGAGAUUAAGAGCUACAGAAAACAAAUAACAAAUGAUAUCCACAAGGAGCGCCUUGCGGCGAUAAAGAAGUCAAUAUUGGCAUCUGAGAUGGCAAAUGCUAAGAACACCGUGGGACAAGCUGCUGGAAAUGCGAAGAGUAGCACGACAAAGACCUUGUCAAAUCCCAUUGUCUCCCCUAACCUGAAAGUUACAUGAGGUGUUUAUUGUACUAGCUUUGGCAGCUAAAGUGGUUCUGUGAUUUGAGAAGAUGACAGGUCUAGUUAUGGGAAAGAUGGAUGACAAUCACCAAAAUCAUCCCUCCCUUUAUUCAAACAAUGCAUGUGGAAUCCAUUCACAGAUGGACAUGAAUAGGGACACCACAAGUCCAAGAAAAUAAAAAAUUACCCAGAUUGACGACUCAGACAACUGAUUCCAAGUUAUUGUGGAAGUGGAAGUUGUAUUGCAUCCGAUAACACAGUGUAGAGUUUGUGGUAUGGAGGUGCUUGCGCAGCUAAUGCUAACCAGGUUUCUUUCCAUUAUCGUUUUGUGCAGUACAUUAGGUAACAAAGAAUCAAAAGCUGUUCCUUUCUUUUGUCCGUUGGAAUUGUAGGAAGACAAUUGAAGUGGUUUCAUGAUUCCAAGUUUGGGAAGCGUAAACGCUAUUGCUCCUACAAAUAAUUGUGUUAAUGGACUUGUAUAAAAAGCUUUGAGCUGAAUUCUGUAAAAGACAUAUGAUUGAACCUAAACUUGCAUGCAUGGAAGUAUGUUUUAGGCUGAAUCAUGUCCAGGGUACUGCUUCCCUCCAAAUUCAUGCUCCUCCAUUUUCCUU